Long non-coding RNA from Passer domesticus (house sparrow), 3287 nucleotides. RefSeq lists it as uncharacterized. The transcript has 5 exons. The record is from RefSeq and is a predicted model, not a curated record. NCBI's taxonomy places the organism in Eukaryota, Metazoa, Chordata, Aves, Passeriformes, Passeridae.
CAUAGAAGGACUGUGGGGUGUGGAAUUUGUUCUCCAGCAGCGCAGCAUGGAGGGUCCGGGCAGCAUUGAUGCCCCCCAUGGCCAGGGUGAAGGAGCAGAUCAGCACUAGGAGGCCUGGCAGGAUACUAACCAAUUUGAGAGGAAAUUGAGGAAACUGAAGCCCAGAUGGAGAAGCAGAAUGUGACUGAUAUCUGAAAGAUGUUUUUUACCCCAGACACAGACUAGAAAAGCAAGGACCUCGUGUUUACCUAAGAAACUGUUUGCGGACCUCGUUUGUCACCGGCUCGUUAUCGGCCAGGACAAACCACAGAAAAUUUUGAAAGAAAUUCGUGAAAAGGUUUCUCAGUAAUACAGACCUGGCCACAGACAAUAAUUGUCAUGGUAGUACAGAAAGGCAAAUGCCAUGAAGAACCAGGAGACACUUUACAGAGAAAAUAUCUGUAAUCUUGUUGACAGAAGAAGAUAUGUUUUAAGAAAAAAAAUAAUACUGUACAUGUUGGUUCAUCCUCUUCAAUGUCUUCAUCCAGUGCAUAAUUCCGGAGGAAUUCUGCAAAGGCCUUGUUUUGUUUCAGAAGCUCUUGGUAGGAUCCCAUUUCAGAGAUUUUGCCAUCUACCAGGACAAUUAUAUGGUCUACCUGAGGUAGGAAGCUAAUGCCGUGGGUUACCAGGAUUCGGGUCUGGAUAGUGAAAAGGAAAAAAACCACAUAUCCUUCAUUUGCACUGUGGGGACUGACAGUACUCAGCAAGCCAAAUACAUUUUUGGGACAGGGAAUGAAUUAUUGUGUCAAGGUCAAAUGCCCAGUGAAAUAGCACUGUCCACAUUAGGCAAAUCAGUUUGGCAUGAUGUACAUGAACUCGCUUUGCUUCUACUGCUGACAAAAACAAAGAGGAAAGUAAACACACUGAAUUAUCAUUCCCUCCUUCCCUUAAGAUGAUUUUCUUUGCAGCCCCUCCCUUUUGACCUUCAAGAUGGUCUGAGAAGAUGGCAGCAGGAGUGGAAGGUGCAGCAAAGCCACUGCAGUUUGGGCUUUUGUUGCCAAAGUCCUGUGUAACAUCCAUAUUUGGUGCAGCUUCCUGGCUGCACUGCCUCCAAGAAACAACAAUUAUCACCACCAGCCUGUGCACGUCCCAGCACACGCCUUGUUUUUUGGAGAUCUCAUAGAGGAGGGAUUUUAAAACACAGGGUGGGUUUCUGCCUCUACAUGUUCUGACCAGACCACAGUGUUCCUGGAAAUGCGUGAGCAGCGUUUUGCCACAGCCUGGGCUGUGAGGAAAGGUACCCACAUUUCCAGCUACACACAGAAUUUCGGGAAUGAGCUGCAUGGUGAAACAGCUUCCGUGUUCCUGAGUUUGUCUGUGUUUUUAAGAGGAUCUAAGCCCCAGCUUACUUUUCCCUUCAGGAUCCCAUCUGGGCCAAUGACUUUGUCGAAGAUGUGCUUGGCCACGUGCGAGUCCACGGCAGACAGGGGAUCAUCCAGCAGGAAAAUAUCUGAGCUGCUGUACACGGCACGGGCCAGGCUCACACGCUGCCUCUGCCCCCCUGACAGGUUGAUGCCCUGGAUGGAGACAGGAGAGAACAAAACAUGCCACACAAAAGCUCUGACUUCUCAUGGUUCUCACCCAGCCCAGCACUCGGGUGCUAAAUUGAAACAUGAGAUGCUGAAGAGAAUAACCCACCCAGAGACAGGCACAGAAUGCCUCUAGAUUUGCCUGUUCACUGCCAAACUUUCCACUCAUCCAGCAAACUGGAGAUGCAGCAAGUCUCUUUUUAAUAAGCUCCUAAAGGGAGCUGUUAAAACACAAAACUAUAAAAAGCAAAACUGUCAACCAGGAUGUAAAAUGCAAAUUUCAAAGCAGGGCUGUGGCACCUGGAACAUCUUCCACAUAUUUCCUUUUACACACAAAUCCUCAUCUCCACACCAUUUCAUGAAAUCUAGCUCAAACUCAGUGGCCUAUGAAAAAAAUAUACCUUUGUUGGUAAACACAGAUGUAUAUGUUUCUCAUUAAAAUGUGUUAAGGGAUGAUCUUUUUCCUUUUUUUUUUUAAUUUGAAGCACAACCAUCUGCUCCUUCCCUUUUUAUCCCUACAGGAAAAGGAAGGCCUUCAGUGAUUCUGGACAGAUGCACCUUUACAAUUCAUGACAAAUAGAGGGCACUCUGAUUUUUCAGGGCUGGAUUUGUAAUUAUGCACCACAAUACACACAAAAGCCUUAAGUUAAGAAAACGUUCAAGUCAACUGCUUUCCAGACAACUGCCUUGCAUGUUUUGGUGUUGAUUCUAGCAGGGAUGACAUUGUGAAGAUCAACUCAAAUGAAGUGCUGAUUUUACAGUAUUCUCUCCUUAGCUAGAGCAGAAAUCACCAGGCAUGUCUGACUUGGAAAAAAAAAAAAUCUACCUAAAAAAAUUACCUUCUCUCCUAUCUCAGUUUGAUCUCCUCCUGGCAGCACUUCUAGAUCAGUUUUUAAAGCACAGGCCUCCAGGGUAUCUUGGUAUUUUUCCUCAUUAGGAGCUUGGCCAAACAAAAUGUUAUCUUUCAGCGUGGCAUUCUGGAUCCAGGCUUGUUGAGGCACAUAAGCAACAGAACCCUAGAAAAAGGAGAGAGAAAAUCUCUGACUCAUAACAAGCAGGAACUCAUGAUCUCAUCUGAAGAUGGCCUUUCCACUGCCACAGAGAUGAAUCUGCCACAAGCCUCUUCAAGGAACACUGCUGGCACACCUAGGUCCAAACACAGAUAUCUCAACUGUCCUCAAAAUCCACCAGAUCAAUCUGAUCUAUGUAAUGGUUCAGUUAAAAAAUGCCUAUUUAAGGAAUUUGUGGAGCCUGUCUUUCAAUAGGUAACUAUUUUAUGCUGGUUGCUGUGGAGUUAAAGCCUUACAACCCUGUUCUACAAAUAUUAAGGACCAUGAGGCACAAGUUCCAUGUUUUAAAGGCGAAGAGAUGCUGACAUGUGAUGCAUAGUUUUUACCAGACACCUUUCAAACAGGCCGCCCAAGAGCCAGAGACCAGAACAACCUGUGCUCCAGGCCCUCCUUACCUGUGCAAUGUUGCUAAUGACUUGUGGAAGCAUAUUGAGGGGAAACUUCAAGAUAUUGAACAAGGACAGGGAGACAAAAGCCUUUUCUGCAUCCAGGAUAUUCUUCUCAUCCACAGAGACAUACACAGCAAAUGUUGUCAGUGCUACCUGAAAACCAGAAAGGGAGUUUACUGCCAGAUGUCUGGUAUAUUCUGACAUUUUAAAAGCACUCAAUCCUGAUAGGCAUCUUGGAAAUAAAAGUACCAACCACAGAA